This 521-nucleotide ribosomal RNA is filed under the name Bacillus subtilis. RNAcentral describes it as "bacterial SSU rRNA". It matches the Rfam family "Bacterial small subunit ribosomal RNA", at positions 419 to 930 of the family's 1533-position model. Lineage: Bacteria; Bacillati; Bacillota; Bacilli; Caryophanales; Bacillaceae. The record is from RNAcentral.
CGGAUCGUAAAGCUCUGUUGUUAGGGAAGAACAAGUACCGUUCGAAUAGGGCGGUACCUUGACGGUACCUAACCAGAAAGCCACGGCUAACUACGUGCCAGCAGCCGCGGUAAUACGUAGGUGGCAAGCGUUGUCCGGAAUUAUUGGGCGUAAAGGGCUCGCAGGCGGUUUCUUAAGUCUGAUGUGAAAGCCCCCGGCUCAACCGGGGAGGGUCAUUGGAAACUGGGGAACUUGAGUGCAGAAGAGGAGAGUGGAAUUCCACGUGUAGCGGUGAAAUGCGUAGAGAUGUGGAGGAACACCAGUGGCGAAGGCGACUCUCUGGUCUGUAACUGACGCUGAGGAGCGAAAGCGUGGGGAGCGAACAGGAUUAGAUACCCUGGUAGUCCACGCCGUAAACGAUGAGUGCUAAGUGUUAGGGGGUUUCCGCCCCUUAGUGCUGCAGCUAACGCAUUAAGCACUCCGCCUGGGGAGUACGGUCGCAAGACUGAAACUCAAAGGAAUUGACGGGGGCCCGCACAAGC